This 443-nucleotide ribosomal RNA is filed under the name uncultured bacterium. RNAcentral describes it as "partial 16S ribosomal RNA". It matches the Rfam family "Bacterial small subunit ribosomal RNA", at positions 338 to 795 of the family's 1533-position model. The record is from RNAcentral.
CCUACGGGUGGCAGCAGUGGGGAAUAUUGGGCAAUGGGCGCAAGCCUGACCCAGCAACGCCGCGUGAAGGAAGAAGGCUUUCGGGUUGUAAACUUCUUUUAUUGAGGACGAAACAAAUGACGGUACUCAAUGAAUAAGCCACGGCUAACUACGUGCCAGCAGCCGCGGUAAUACGUAGGAGGCAAGCGUUAUUCGGAUUUACUGGGUGUAAAGGGCGUGUAGGCGGGACUGCAAGUCAGAUGUGAAACCCAUGGGCUCAACCCAUGGCCUGCAUUUGAAACUGUUUUUCGUGAGUACUGGAGAGGCAGACGGAAUGCCUAGUGUAGCGGUGAAAUGCGUAGAUAUUAGGAGGAACACCAGUGGCGAAGGCGGUCUGCUGGACAGCAACUGACGCUGAGGCGCGAAAGCGUGGGGAGCAAACAGGAUUAGAUACCCCUGUAGUC